UACAAAACCAAAUUAAACAUGUAAUAGGUCAACAUUAUAUUUUAAAUUAGAUAUUAUCACAUCUUUACAUACAGUUUUAUGAAAUACCACUUGAAUAUAUAUUUUUUUUCUUUACUUUUUGAACAUGAAAUUCCUGAAAUUUCCAAUUUUUUUCCCCAAAACUUGAAAAAAAACUUUAGGGCCGGAUGCAAAAAAAUAAGGUAGGUCGGGUAGCAGGAAACAAGACUAUAUUUUGUUUUGGCCUAACUAUAGAUGAACUGAAUUGCUCUAAUAUCUCAAGUUGUGUUUGAGUCACAUAUCACUAACUUGGAAAAGUCUGUUGACUGUAAAGAAAUGUUUUAUGUUAUUUUCCAAUAGAAAAAUUAAUUUUGAAUUGAGGAUUGAAAUGAGUUAAGAGAUCAAAUCAGCCAGGGAAAUUUGAAGAGUGGUGUUUAUGUUGUAUUAAAACAUUCAUUUUGUAGGUGGGAUGUUUUCAUUGUUAUAUUUCUUCCAGUUUAAUUUGCAAAGGUGAAGUCUUUCAUUUUGUGUGUGUAUUUAGGUAUAGCUUUUACUGUAGGUAGUUUGUGUGGAAUAAAAAAGCUUUUCUGGAGAAGGGUGGAAUGGAUGAUUUGUGUUCAGGAGCUUUGUUGUCAUUUCUAUAAGAAACACAUGAUUAAGACAGAACAGACCUUUAAACAUCAGAGCUGGGAUCAGGUGCCAUGUAAGAGUGAGCAUCCCCUGCUGAUGAUGUUUUGUGGUCAGGAGCUUUGUUUUUCAUUUCUUUAAGAAACACAUUAAGUUAGAACAGACCCAUAAAACAUACUUGAAUUAAGAUAUUGUUUCUUGAAGAAUAAGGUAGGGCCUAGAAUAAAAAUUAUAAAAGUCAUGUAUUUUCUAGCUAUCUGUACUGUAUUGAAUUCAUUCCUUAAUGCGUUUUGUGGUGUAAUAUUGUAUGUAUAAUACACAGGGACUGUAGCAUACUAUGUGUAAAUUUACUGGAUCACUAAUCUAUUUGUAUGUAUAGUGGUAACAUAAAAUCAAGCAUUAGUAUGUUACAAGUCCAUGUAGUUUUAGUGCUUGUAAAUGCAUUCUAUUUAAUUGAUAUAUCUAAUGGAAUAUAAGAUUUGCAUCAUUUAGUUUAUUUAUGAUGAUGAUAUGAGGAUAUUUGUACCAAUGUAUUUUUGAGUGGGUAACCCUAUCCCAUGCCUCUUAUUAAUGUAUUGUGUACAUCUAAGGCCACACCAAUUUAAUUUCUUGUUUGUCGGACAUUUGAUGAGAAAAGUACGAGCGGGCUGGCGGCUAAAUAAUAAUAUUAUAACUUUUUUAAAGGCAAAAUUUUAAGGCGGUGUGUGCAAAAAUUUUUAGCGGAUAAUUAUAUUUUUCUGAUUUGCAGAGUAAGUAGAUUAAAAGUGCGAAAAAUAGAGCGGAAAGGGAACAGAAAACAGCACAGAAUUCCAAUAGUGCGGAAAUUUUAAAUUAAUAUUAUUUCUAUAGUUUUGUUGAAAUACGAGCGCGUUGUGUCCGACGAACAAUAAAUUUUAUUGGUGUGGACGAAUUAUAAUGCUUUGUAACAGUCUUGUUGCGACAUUUGAUUUUGAUGUAUGGUAUUGUCACUGUAAACUGACUUGAUAGUUAGUGCAAUAAUUUAUAAUUCUCAGGAUGGAUGAGGCGCUGCAAACUUUGGUCUGCUUUGAUGCUUUGUUACAGAAACUCUGUAUGUUAACAUGGGAAUGUCUUCAUCUGUAGGUACACAAAAACACAAACACACAUUGCAAAAUCGUGUUUACAGAUGUAUGUUAGAUUCUGGGGCUUAUUUAUUUUAAUAAUUCUGCAAGAAAAGUACAAAAACUUGCAAUGGAUUCUUAAUUUUACUCAAAGUCAAUUGAUGGGAACUAUUGGGAAGUAAAUAUAGUGAUAUUGAUUUUAUUCACUUAAAACAUUUAAAGCUUGCAAAGAUUUUCAAUUUAUUUUCAAAGUGCUAUCCAUUUGUUUGUGCCACUGAUUUUUGCGGUCAUAAUCACGCUUGUACGGACACGUUUGAUUGUCUCUGCUAUUAUUCUGAAGUGAAGGGUCUCGGACUUGACGUAUUUGAACACACCCAUGCAGUAUUUUGGGCUUUUCUAUUGGCUGACUUUAACAUAAUGAGUGUAACAACCAUUGCUAUUGGUUGAAAUAUUUGAACACAUCCAUGCAGUACUUUGUAUCUUACUUUAUUUAUGUCAGUUCUGCUUGCCAUCGUUUAUUUUUGUUUUGAAGAUACAUGAUGUAAAUUUUUCUGCUAAGAACAAUAAAUUAUUCAAAGAAAAUUCA
This is a long non-coding RNA of Saccostrea cuccullata (small rock oyster), 2289 nucleotides long. RefSeq lists it as uncharacterized. The transcript has 2 exons. NCBI's taxonomy places the organism in Eukaryota, Metazoa, Mollusca, Bivalvia, Ostreida, Ostreidae. The record is from RefSeq and is a predicted model, not a curated record.